GGUUACUUCCUUGCUCCUGAAAAUGACAAUGUUCUAUUUUCUACUAUUUCUGUCUAAAAAUUUAAACAGGUCCUGAGAAGAGGAUUAGAAAAAGGCAACACAUCAAAAAGUUAAGAGGCAGAAAUAGCUUUUAUGUUGCUGGUAAAUUUAAUGAGAUCUUAAAUUAUUCGACUGGCAAGUCUCAUCUCUGAGCAUUUCAGUGAAGACUGUCAGAAAUCAUCAAAAUUCAACACAACAGAGUAAAAGCUAAUAGCCUUUUUGUUAUACCAAAACUGAAAGGAUUGAUGUUCUUAAGUAACAAAAAGCAAUAAAGAUAAAAUACAGGACAUCAAAGAUAUCACAUACAUUCAUAUAUCUCAAGCAAUGAAAGAGCUGUGAUAUGAUCCAUAUUUUUUGUUU
RNAcentral lists this long non-coding RNA (399 nucleotides) under Homo sapiens (human). RNAcentral describes it as "HSALNT0322203". The record is from RNAcentral. Lineage: Eukaryota; Metazoa; Chordata; Mammalia; Primates; Hominidae.